GAUGAACGCUGGCGGCGUGCCUAACACAUGCAAGUCGAACGACAAGACGAGGAGCUCGUGCUUCUGACGUUAGCGACGGACGGGUGAGUAACAAGUGGAUAACCUUCCUCUAUGUCUGGGAUGAUUACGGGAGACAGGAGAUACUAAUAGAUAAUACAAUCAACCGGAUGGUUCAAUAGAGAUUGACGGCUUUCGUGUCUCUUAUAGACGGAUCCGCGCCGCAUUAGCUAGUUGGUAAGGUAACGCCAUACCAAGGCUACGAUGCGUAGCCGACCUGAGAGGAUGAUCGGCCACACUGGAACUGAGACACGGUCCAGACUCCUACGGGAGGCAGCAGUGGGGAAUCUUCGGCAAUGGGCGAAAGCUUGACGGAGCAACACCGCGUGGGUGAAGAAGGUCUUCGGGUCGUAAAGCUCUGUUGUUGGGAAAGAACAGCUGUAUGUGAAUCUAUAGCCGUCUUGACGGUACCUAAACAAAAAGCAACGGCUAACUACGUG
RNAcentral lists this ribosomal RNA (497 nucleotides) under uncultured bacterium. RNAcentral describes it as "partial 16S ribosomal RNA". It matches the Rfam family "Bacterial small subunit ribosomal RNA", at positions 28 to 507 of the family's 1533-position model. The record is from RNAcentral.